This 496-nucleotide ribosomal RNA is filed under the name uncultured bacterium. RNAcentral's name for it is "partial 16S ribosomal RNA". It matches the Rfam family "Bacterial small subunit ribosomal RNA", at positions 28 to 506 of the family's 1533-position model. The record is from RNAcentral.
GAUGAACGCUGGCGGCGUGCCUAAUACAUGCAAGUCGAGCGAACAGACGAGGAGCUUGCUCCUCUGACGUUAGCGGCGGACGGGUGAGUAACACGUGGAUAACCUACCUAUAAGACUGGGAUAACUUCGGGAAACCGGAGCUAAUACCGGAUAAUAUAUUGAACCGCAUGGUUCAAUAGUGAAAGACGGUUUUGCUGUCACUUAUAGAUGGAUCCGCGCCGCAUUAGCUAGUUGGUAAGGUAACGGCUUACCAAGGCAACGAUGCGUAGCCGACCUGAGAGGGUGAUCGGCCACACUGGAACUGAGAAACGGCCCAGACUCCUACGGGAGGCAGCAGUAGGGAAUCUUCCGCAAUGGGCGAAAGCUUGACGGAGCAACGCCGCGUGAGUGAUGAAGGUCUUCGGAUCGUAAAACUCUGUUAUUAGGGAAGAACAAAUGUGUAAGUAACUAUGCACGUCUUGACGGUACCGAAUCAGAAAGCCACGGCUAACUACGU